GUUGCGGUGGCCGAGUGGUUAAGGCGUUGGACUAGAAAUCAAUGGGAUCUUCCCGCGCAGGUUCGAAUCCUGCCCGCAACG
Molecule: transfer RNA, 81 nt
Filed under: Nematostella vectensis (starlet sea anemone)
Lineage: Eukaryota; Metazoa; Cnidaria; Anthozoa; Actiniaria; Edwardsiidae
Rfam family: tRNA
About the family: Transfer RNA (tRNA) molecules are approximately 80 nucleotides in length.
Source: Rfam by way of RNAcentral